Small nuclear RNA from Capra hircus (goat), 99 nucleotides. Lineage: Eukaryota; Metazoa; Chordata; Mammalia; Artiodactyla; Bovidae. The record is from Ensembl.
AUGCUUGUUUUGGCAGCACAUAUACUAAAAUGGGAAUAAUAGAGAGAAUUAGCAUAACCCCUGAACAAGGGAAUAUGAAAAUUUGUGAAACAUAAUUGU